RNAcentral lists this small nucleolar RNA (131 nucleotides) under Zalophus californianus (California sea lion). Its description in RNAcentral is "Small nucleolar RNA SNORA44 (ENSZCAG00015010703.1)". It matches the Rfam family "Small nucleolar RNA SNORA44". From Rfam's summary of the family: ACA44 is a member of the H/ACA class of snoRNA that guide the sites of modification of uridines to pseudouridines. Lineage: Eukaryota; Metazoa; Chordata; Mammalia; Carnivora; Otariidae. The record is from RNAcentral.
CAGCAUGUUUCCAAGGGCUGUGGCCGGGUGUGGCCAUGGGAUCUCCAACUGCAUGCGAGAGCAACCUGGAGAGACUUUGACAGCACAGGUCCACGUAAUACCUGCAGCUGCCACUCAACUUUCCUAUAACA